UACGUAGGUGGCAAGCGUUGUUCGGAAUUAUUGGGCGUAAAGGGCGCGUAGGCGGCAUGUUAAGUCGGCUGUGAAAGCCUGGGGCUCAACCCCAGAGGGUCGGCCGAUACUGGCAAGCUAGAGUACGGAAGAGGUAGCUGGAAUUCCCGGUGUAGAGGUGGAAAUUCGAUAGAUAUUCGGAAGAACACCAGUGGCGAAGGCGGCUCACUGGUCCGGUACUGACGCUGAGGUGCGAAAGCGUGG
RNAcentral lists this ribosomal RNA (243 nucleotides) under uncultured bacterium. Its description in RNAcentral is "partial 16S ribosomal RNA". It matches the Rfam family "Bacterial small subunit ribosomal RNA", at positions 524 to 764 of the family's 1533-position model. The record is from RNAcentral.